UUCCGUAGGGGGAACCUGCGGAGGGAUCAUUACACAAAUAUGAAGGCGGGCUGGAACCUCUCGGGGUUACAGCCUUGCUGAAUUAUUCACCCUUGUCUUUUGCGUACUUCUUGUUUCCUUGGUGGGUUCGCCCACCACUAGGACAAACAUAAACCUUUUGUAAUUGCAAUCAGCGUCAGUAACAAAUUAAUAAUUACAACUUUCAACAACGGAUCUCUUGGUUCUGGCAUCGAUGAAGAACGCAGCGAAAUGCGAUAAGUAGUGUGAAUUGCAGAAUUCAGUGAAUCAUCGAAUCUUUGAACGCACAUUGCGCCCUUUGGUAUUCCAAAGGGCAUGCCUGUUCGAGCGUCAUUUGUACCCUCAAGCUUUGCUUGGUGUUGGGCGUCUUGUCUCUAGCUUUGCUGGAGACUCGCCUUAAAGUAAUUGGCAGCCGGCCUACUGGUUUCGGAGCGCAGCACAAGUCGCACUCUCUAUCAGCAAAGGUCUAGCAUCCAUUAAGCCUUUUGUCAACUAUCGACCUCAGAAGAGGUAUCUGUCAAAAGGC
This 544-nucleotide ribosomal RNA is filed under the name Alternaria arborescens. RNAcentral's name for it is "eukaryotic LSU rRNA". The stretch from base 198 to 351 matches the Rfam family "5.8S ribosomal RNA". The record is from RNAcentral. Lineage: Eukaryota; Fungi; Ascomycota; Dothideomycetes; Pleosporales; Pleosporaceae.